Molecule: long non-coding RNA, 545 nt
Organism: Cyprinus carpio carpio
Lineage: Eukaryota; Metazoa; Chordata; Actinopteri; Cypriniformes; Cyprinidae
Source: Ensembl
GAAUGAAACAUUUAUUGUUGACUCAACGCAGCCUGGGGAGAAUUUAGGAUUUGUAGUGGCUGUGACUUCUGAGAACCUGACAGUCAGCACCUGCAUAAACCUUCAAUGGCAACUUCACUGUGAAAACAUUAAGCUUCACUGUACUGUUAAUUAUAGAGUGAAACAUAAAGCGCCACAUGAAACCCUGCCAGGAAAUUACACAUCUUCAGGAGACAAAGGAGAUGCAAGUUCUCCUGGCUGGCUUAUUGCUGUAAUCGUGGGGAGCGUGAUUGUGUCUGUUCUCAUCAUAUCUGCUACCAUUUGGUUUUGUUUGAAGAAGGCAAGAAAGUCAGCGUACACUCCUCCAGGUGAAGAUGAAUCUGAGGAAGAAUUCUGAAUUGUCAAAGUCUAAGCAAUAGAAGUGUUUAUAGGUCCGGUCAUCUGGCCAUGAACUCACGUAUACCUGCAAACUUUGCGUGGAGCUCAUCUCCUUUUUUUGCAUGACUGGAUUUGUCAAGAUUCAAGUAAGAAAAAUUCCUUACAUAUUUUUUUUUUGUGUGUGUGUG